GACGUAGGUGGCGAACGUUAUCCGGAAUUAUUGGGCGUAAAGAGCUCGUAGGCGGCUUGGCAAAUCAGGUGUGAAACCUCCAGGCUCAACCUAAAAACACCACUCGAUACUACUAUAGCUAGAGUCCGGUAGGGGACCACGGAAUUCCUGGUGUAGCGGUGAAAUGCGCAGAUAUCAGGAGGAACACCGGUGGCGAAGGCGGUGGUCUGGGCCGGCACUGACGCUGAGAAACGAAAACAUAAAUAACAAACAAG
This 254-nucleotide ribosomal RNA is filed under the name uncultured bacterium. RNAcentral describes it as "partial 16S ribosomal RNA". It matches the Rfam family "Bacterial small subunit ribosomal RNA", at positions 524 to 776 of the family's 1533-position model. The record is from RNAcentral.